RNAcentral lists this ribosomal RNA (253 nucleotides) under uncultured bacterium. RNAcentral describes it as "partial 16S ribosomal RNA". It matches the Rfam family "Bacterial small subunit ribosomal RNA", at positions 524 to 776 of the family's 1533-position model. The record is from RNAcentral.
UACGGAGGGUGCAAGCGUUAUCCGGAUUCACUGGGUUUAAAGGGUGCGUAGGAGGGCAGGUAAGUCAGUGGUGAAAUCUCCGAGCUUAACUUGGAAACUGCCGUUGAUACUAUCUGCCUUGAAUAUUGUGGAGGUGAGCGGAAUAUGUCAUGUAGCGGUGAAAUGCUUAGAUAUGACAUAGAACACCAAUUGCGAAGGCAGCUCACUACACGGUCAUUGACACUGAGGCACGAAAGCGUGGGGAUCAAACAGG